AUGUUAUAUUUAAAUAUAGAUUAUUGAUACUUUUAAAAUGAUCUACCUUAACUGCACAAUAAAUGCCUCGGACAGGACUUGGAAUACGAGCUAAGAGACUGCUAACUAUGACAACACGUCCUUUUGAUCGUCUAAUCAAAGAAGGAGGCACCCAUUCGCAUUCACCUAAUGUCACCCAAGCAGCAGCAUGUAUUAAUGCCCAUAAACCUAUUGUAAGAUAUUUACGAUUAUCAAAUAUAUAUUAUAAAUAAUAAGUUUUAUAUAUCUAUAAAAAAAUAUAAAUUUGAACCUGGUGCACCAUCUGGUAAGUUUUCAUUUACAUAAAGAAAUGUCGAAUGAAUAUCAUGCUCACUAGUAAUAUCUAAUUGCAAUAUAUGUAAUCUACCAGAAGCUUCCUGUUUUAAUUUUUGCAUUGUCUCUUCAUUCUCAACUUUUGCACUAAAUCCAGCAAAUACUGUAAACCCCUUUAGAAAUAAAUUCUGUAUAUAUAGAACACACUAGAAAUGAAUAAUAACAAUCGUAACAAGAAUACAUAGAAAUUAUCUUACCAGUUCAUCUAAUUGUUUACUUAAAGUAUAUCCAACUCUUGAAUCACAACCUGUAAUAAGAACUGCUUUUCCUGCGGCAGUUACCUGUGGGAAAUAUAUUUUUGUACCAUUAUAUGCUUAUAUAUUAACAUUGUAGAAUAUAAUCUCUCUCUUACACACACACACACACACACACGCGCGCGUGUACUUAUAUUAAAAUUAAGAAGUAAAUAUUAAUAUAAUAUUAAAUGUGUGAAAUAUAAGCGAUAUAUAUAGUCUGUACUUAUGCUUUGUAAUCUUAUGGAUUAAUAAACACAUGUUUUUAAUGA
Bombus terrestris (buff-tailed bumblebee) is the source of this 856-nucleotide long non-coding RNA. RefSeq lists it as uncharacterized. The transcript has 2 exons. NCBI's taxonomy places the organism in Eukaryota, Metazoa, Arthropoda, Insecta, Hymenoptera, Apidae. The record is from RefSeq and is a predicted model, not a curated record.